Molecule: long non-coding RNA, 618 nt
Organism: Panicum virgatum (switchgrass)
Lineage: Eukaryota; Viridiplantae; Streptophyta; Magnoliopsida; Poales; Poaceae
Exons: 3
Source: RefSeq, a predicted model, not a curated record
UUUGAUUCAAAUUAUGUGUGGCACUGACCGUAAUGCCCCUCUUUUGGAUUCAGUGUGAGGACACAAGCAGCUGGUGGUUAAGCUGGUUUGUACCAGCUGAGAGUCUGAGCUCCCAUGGUGUCUCACUCCGUGAAGAUCAUGGAGCUCAUUGCCAGAGCCAUUGUCGAGCCGUAGUUCAUCAGCUAGGGGCAGAGGAGAUGUAAUUGGAUGUACUGGUGCUGCUGCAUCUUAAGAUGGAAGUACUCAUGCCUGAUGGAAGAUAAGAGCAAGCAUGCUGUCAAGCCAAGAACAGCACAUCCUCAUCUACAUCCAUUUGAAUUUGAACGUCUGUAGUGUGAUCCUUCCUAAGAAUCCUAACCCUUCUUAUGGUCUGAUUGGAUUAAAAAAAUCAUAUGUUCAUGCCUGAUGCAAGUGAAGGUCAGCAUAGGCAUGUUGUUUGGUCACUAGUAUUCCAAUCAAUCACUAGCUAGAUUCUUGAUUCAAGAUAUGUAAAUUCUUUUAUGUGUACUGUGCCUUAUGUUUUCUGGAUGCUAAUCCUUUUUUUAUUCAUAUAGUUACCUAGUUAGUUGUUUGAUUUGUGGUUUUUCUUGCAAGUCCAAAUCGUAAAAUUUGGCGCCA